This 986-nucleotide ribosomal RNA is filed under the name Acinetobacter junii. RNAcentral describes it as "bacterial SSU rRNA". It matches the Rfam family "Bacterial small subunit ribosomal RNA", at positions 38 to 1014 of the family's 1533-position model. Lineage: Bacteria; Pseudomonadati; Pseudomonadota; Gammaproteobacteria; Moraxellales; Moraxellaceae. The record is from RNAcentral.
CGCAGGGACGCAGCAUACCAUGCAGUCGAGCGGAGAUGAGAGUGCUUGCACCUUAUCUUAGCGGCGGACGGGUGAGUAAUGCUUAGGAAUCUGCCUAUUAGUGGGGGACAACAUUCCGAAAGGAAUGCUAAUACCGCAUACGUCCUACGGGAGAAAGCAGGGGAUCUUCGGACCUUGCGCUAAUAGAUGAGCCUAAGUCGGAUUAGCUAGUUGGUGGGGUAAAGGCCUACCAAGGCGACGAUCUGUAGCGGGUCUGAGAGGAUGAUCCGCCACACUGGGACUGAGACACGGCCCAGACUCCUACGGGAGGCAGCAGUGGGGAAUAUUGGACAAUGGGGGGAACCCUGAUCCAGCCAUGCCGCGUGUGUGAAGAAGGCCUUAUGGUUGUAAAGCACUUUAAGCGAGGAGGAGGCUACUGAGACUAAUACUCUUGGAUAGUGGACGUUACUCGCAGAAUAAGCACCGGCUAACUCUGUGCCAGCAGCCGCGGUAAUACAGAGGGUGCGAGCGUUAAUCGGAUUUACUGGGCGUAAAGCGUGCGUAGGCGGCUUUUUAAGUCGGAUGUGAAAUCCCCGAGCUUAACUUGGGAAUUGCAUUCGAUACUGGGAAGCUAGAGUAUGGGAGAGGAUGGUAGAAUUCCAGGUGUAGCGGUGAAAUGCGUAGAGAUCUGGAGGAAUACCGAUGGCGAAGGCAGCCAUCUGGCCUAAUACUGACGCUGAGGUACGAAAGCAUGGGGAGCAAACAGGAUUAGAUACCCUGGUAGUCCAUGCCGUAAACGAUGUCUACUAGCCGUUGGGGCCUUUGAGGCUUUAGUGGCGCAGCUAACGCGAUAAGUAGACCGCCUGGGGAGUACGGUCGCAAGACUAAAACUCAAAUGAAUUUGACGGGGGCCCGCACAAGCGGUGGAGCAUGUGGUUUAAUUCGAUGCAACGCGAAGAACCUUACCUGGCCUUGACAUACUAGAAACUUUCCAGGAGAAUGGAUUG